UUUAGAUCUGCAGAACAUCUGCAGUAUUUUGUGUUGUUUUCCUUUGUGUUUUUGACAACCAUUGCUCCAGUGCACCAGCUGUCACUUGCUGAUAAUCUGAUGCAUUUGUUACAUGAUUAUUAGAAACUAAAUACUAUAUGUCAUGACUUCAGUCUUGCUAUUAUAUCUGUAUCAGAGUCUUAUACUCCACAAAUUAUGCAGUUCUCAAAUGUGAGCUUUUAGAAACUGAGGUCAUUUGAAAAACCUGCAUUUUAUGGGGACUUUUUGUUGUUCUUUUUCCACUGAGAAGCUGUUGAAGCAUAUUUCCUUCCAGAGAAAUCCUACCAAAGCAAAAUUACAGUAUGGCUCACUUUUAAAUUUCACAGCAAAGUAGCACUUAAGGCUUAUUGCAGUGCAUUAGAUUUAAAACCAAUUAAGUACAAUGCUAAAUCAGUGUAAACCACAUUUCUGAAUUUAUCUAAAACAUAAUGAAUAACAUCUGCAAAGAAAAGAUUUAUACUGAGCAGCAAAACAAAAUGUGUUGACAAUUUCAGCAGCUUUCAUUGCCUUAUGUCAUAUGUCUUCAUUAUUUGGUAAAGCUUCACUAUAAUCCUUCUUUGUUAGAACAGUAAAAGGGAAAAGAAAAACCCAAAUCGCAACACAUUUCGGUAGAUUCUUCCUCAUUUCAUUUCCUCUUCUCGGCAAACGUGCAUCUUAUUUACCUCAGGAGCUUCUCCAUUUUGAAAUCUAUUCAGUAUUUGAGAAGGAUCACCUUUUUUGAAGAGUGUUGAAGAAGCAAGAAUAAUCUUCUGUCCUCUGAUGGACACUUCUAGUACUGUCAUCUCCAGAAAACCAGCUUUCAGUAGGAUCACCUGUUCCACUUAUCUUCCUAGAUGACAACAGGAAGAAAGUUUGGCAAAAGAAAUCAGAAGUUUCCAGUGCUCUUGAAAGGACCAAAUACCACCUCAACAGAGCUGAAACUCCUCACCAAACAUGGAAUCAUGUGCUAUUUUUAAUGGGCAUGCCAUCUGAAGCUGUCGCAAAAGUCCGUGCCAAUAUUGCCCCAAUGAACAGAGAGGUAAUGUAGCUUUAAUUUUAACUUCAAUUAUAUCCAGGAAGAUUAAUUGUUGGGGGUAAAUCCUGGUGUGGAGCCAAAAG
This 1137-nucleotide long non-coding RNA is filed under the name Numida meleagris (helmeted guineafowl). RNAcentral's name for it is "lncRNA (ENSNMEG00000009621.1)". The record is from RNAcentral. Lineage: Eukaryota; Metazoa; Chordata; Aves; Galliformes; Numididae.